RNAcentral lists this ribosomal RNA (680 nucleotides) under bacterium 75-L049616-122-011-C10. RNAcentral describes it as "bacterial SSU rRNA". It matches the Rfam family "Bacterial small subunit ribosomal RNA", at positions 61 to 758 of the family's 1533-position model. The record is from RNAcentral.
GUCGAACGGUAAGGCCCUUCGGGGUACACGAGUGGCGAACGGGUGAGUAACACGUGGGUAAUCUGCCCUGCACUUCGGGAUAAGCCUGGGAAACUGGGUCUAAUACCGGAUAUUCAGCUUUCACCGCAUGGUGGUGGUUGGAAAGUUUUUCGGUGCAGGAUGAGCCCGCGGCCUAUCAGCUUGUUGGUGGGGUAAUGGCCUACCAAGGCGACGACGGGUAGCCGGCCUGAGAGGGUGAUCGGCCACACUGGGACUGAGACACGGCCCAGACUCCUACGGGAGGCAGCAGUGGGGAAUAUUGCACAAUGGGCGAAAGCCUGAUGCAGCGACGCCGCGUGGGGGAUGACGGUCUUCGGAUUGUAAACCCCUUUCAGUAGGGACGAAGCGCAAGUGACGGUACCUGCAGAAGAAGCACCGGCCAACUACGUGCCAGCAGCCGCGGUAAUACGUAGGGUGCGAGCGUUGUCCGGAAUUACUGGGCGUAAAGAGCUCGUAGGCGGUUUGUCGCGUCGUCCGUGAAAACUCGGAGCUUAACUCCGAGCUUGCGGGCGAUACGGGCAGACUUGAGUACUACAGGGGAGACUGGAAUUCCUGGUGUAGCGGUGAAAUGCGCAGAUAUCAGGAGGAACACCGGUGGCGAAAGCGGGUCUCUGGGUAGUAACUGACGCUGAGGAGCGAAA